This 497-nucleotide ribosomal RNA is filed under the name uncultured bacterium. RNAcentral describes it as "partial 16S ribosomal RNA". It matches the Rfam family "Bacterial small subunit ribosomal RNA", at positions 28 to 507 of the family's 1533-position model. The record is from RNAcentral.
GAUGAACGCUGGCGGCGUGCCUAAUACAUGCAAGUCGAGCGAACAGACGAGGAGCUUGCUCCUCUGACGUUAGCGGCGGACGGGUGAGUAACACGUGGAUAACCUACCUAUAAGACUGGGAUAACUUCGGGAAACCGGAGCUAAUACCGGAUAACAUGUUGAACCGCAUGGUUUAAUAGUGAAAGACGGUCUUGCUGUCACUUAUAGAUGGAUCCGCGCCGCAUUAGCUAGUUGGUAAGGUAACGGCUUACCAAGGCAACGAUGCGUAGCCGACCUGAGAGGGUGAUCGGCCACACUGGAACUGAGACACGGUCCAGACUCCUACGGGAGGCAGCAGUAGGGAAUCUUCCGCAAUGGGCGAAAGCCUGACGGAGCAACGCCGCGUGAGUGAAGAAGGUCUUCGGAUCGUAAAACUCUGUUAUUAGGGAAGAACAAAUGUGUAAGUAAUUAUGCACGUCUUGACGGUACCUAAUCAGAAAGCCACGGCUAACUACGUG